RNAcentral lists this ribosomal RNA (319 nucleotides) under uncultured bacterium. RNAcentral describes it as "bacterial SSU rRNA". It matches the Rfam family "Bacterial small subunit ribosomal RNA", at positions 28 to 334 of the family's 1533-position model. The record is from RNAcentral.
GAUGAACGCCGGCGGCGUGCCUAAUACAUGCAGGUCGAGCGAACGGAUAAGGAGCUUGCUCCUUUGAAGUUAGCGGCGGACGGGUGAGUAACACGUGGGUAACCUACCUAUAAGACUGGAAUAACUUCGGGAAACCGGAGCUAAUGCCGGAUAACAUUUGGAACCGCAUGGUUCUAAAAGUAAGAGAUGGUUUUGCUAUCACUUAUAGAUGGACCCGCGCCGUAUUAGCUAGUUGGUAAAGGUAACGGCUUACCAAGGCAACGAUACGUAGCCGACCUGAGAGGGUGAUCGGCCACACUGGGACUGAGACACGGCCCAA